This 1447-nucleotide ribosomal RNA is filed under the name uncultured prokaryote. Its description in RNAcentral is "partial 16S ribosomal RNA". It matches the Rfam family "Bacterial small subunit ribosomal RNA". The record is from RNAcentral.
AGGGUUCGAUUAUGGCUCAGGAUGAACGCUGGCGGUGCGCCUAAUACAUGCAAGUCGAACGAGAUCUUGACGAAGUUUACUUUGUUAAGUGACAGUGGCGGACGAGCGAGUAACACGUAAGAACCUGCCCCGUACUCAGGGAUAACGGCCCGAAAGGGUCGCUAAUACCGGAUAGUCUCGAAAGAGUAAAGAUUUAUCGGUACGGGAGGGGCUUGCGGCUUAUCAGUUAGUUGGUGGGGUAAAGGCCUACCAAGACUAUGACGAGUAGCUGGUCUGAGAGGAUGAUCAGCCGCGAUGGGACUGAGACACGGCCCAUACUCCUACGGGAGGCAGCAGUAAGGAAUCUUCCGCAAUGGACGAAAGUCUGACGGAGCGACACCGCGUGGUGGAUGAAGGCUUUCGGGUCGUAAACACCUUUUCUGGGGGAAGAAAAUCUGACGGUACUCCAGGAAUAAGGACCGGCUAAUUACGUGCCAGCAGCCGCGGUAAUACGUAAGGUCCGAGCGUUAUCCGGAAUUAUUGGGCGUAAAGCGUCCGCAGGUGGUUAGGUAAGUCGGUUAUUAAAUACCGGAGCUCAACUUCGGUGCUGUAAUCGAAACUAUCUAACUAGAGGAUGAGAGAGGUAUGUGGAAUUGUGCAAGUAGGGGUAAAAUCCGUAGAUAUGCACAGGAACACCAAAAGCGAAGGCAGCUCACUGGACAUUUACUGACGCUCAUGGACGAAAGCGUGGGGAGCGAAAGGGAUUAGAUACCCCUGUAGUCCACGCCGUAAACGAUGUAUGCUCGAUGUUGGGACCCUCGACCUGGUCUCAGUGUCUAAGAUAACCCGUUAAGCAUGCCGCCUGUGUAGUACGAUCGCAAGAUUAAAACACAAAGGAAUAGACGGGGGCCCACACAAGCGGUGGAUCAUGGGGUUUAAUUCGUCAAUAAGCGGGUAACCUUACCCGGGCUUGACAUCUCUAUCGUACCUUUUAGAAACAAUUGGGUCAGUUAGGCUGGAUAGAUGACAGGCGCUGCAUGGUUGUCGUCAGCUCGUGCCUUGAGGUGUACGGUUAAGUCCGCGAACGAGCGCAACCCUCGUCCUAUGUUGUAUUUUCAUGGGAGACUGCCGGUCAUAAACCGGAGGAAGGUGAGGAUGACGUCAAAUCAGCAUGGCCCUUAUGCCUGGGGCUACACCCACAAUACAAUGGCUAGUACAAACUGAAGCGAAGCAGCGAUGUGGAGCGAAUCGGAGAAAACUUGUCUCAGUUCGGAUUGGAGUCUGCAACUCGACUCCAUGAAGCUGGAAUCGCUAGUAAACGUAUAUCAGUCACGGUACGUUGAAUAUGUUCCUGGGUCUUGUACUCACCGCCCGUCAAGGCAUGGAAGCUGGGAGCACCCAAAGUCUGCGUAAUAAUCGUGGCCUAAGGUGAGUUCAGUGACUGGGCUUAAGUCGUAACAAGGUAGCC